UGCCUCUCUCUCCUCUCCUUAUUCAUUGGUGCGUACUCGAAAUUCUCCAUUGAAGCGCACUCGAUCUUUCCUUCUUUCUCUUUCCCCUCUUCGUUCUUUCGGUUUCCCCUCUUCGUUCUUUCUGUUUCACCUCUUCCUUCUUAUCUCUCUCUUCUCUCUCCUCAAACAAACCCUAAUCUACAGAAGAAAUCGGCCUUGAACGACCUGCUGCCCUCCUUCGAAAACCGGCAUCAAUUCGAACCAAGGACAACCAUCAUCGCCGCCAACGUCUAUUUCUUGAAUCUACAAUAUUGGAGGUUAGGGUUUCUGGGUGCGUCUAUUUUGAAUCAAUUCGAUGUGUGUGUGUCUUCAACAAGCACAAAUUCAAAUCAAUUUCGAACCAAAAAUCAGAAAUUCGAGCAGAGAUUGGUGGUGAAAGGAAGAUUUGCCCCAAAGUAUUUUGAAGGAAUAUUGAGGAGAUAUGUCAGUGAUGGACGUGGAACAUGAACUUCGAGCUCUUAGGCUUCAACUUAGAGAGAAAUCUAUAUUCCCGGCUAAUCUUCAAAAGAGGAGUUCCUUGGUGAUUAUUGAUUGCUUUAUACAAGAACAAUUCAUCCGUGUAAAAGCGCAGUUUGUUGUGGCAAGUAAUGGAGGUUGAAGUGAGGCCAAACUUGCUUUCUUCGGAUUCAGUAAAAUUUCUUCUUGAAGAUAUUAAAAAGGUUGGUGAUGUGGUGCUUGUACAGGAGGAUAACUUUAUACAGAAUGAAUUUAGAAUAGUUGGACUGGAAACCUUGAUAGGCAAUCAUUUCUCAGCACUACAAAGUGGAUUGAUGAAGUAUGGACAGAACGUGGCAGUGAUGUGAUUAUUGUCCUUGUUGGAAAUAAAACUGAUUUGGUUGACAAAAGUUGGGCUACAAGCAUCCCUCAGAAUCAGGAUCACUCCCUGGCGCAAAUGAGGCAAAGACAUGUAAUUGGAUAAUUGCAUAGCCUUGGUUAGUUGACUCAGAUGAAUGUCCUGUAAACAUCUAUGCUAAAAGAUUACCAUCUGACAGGAUCAGAAGAAAGCAGGAGCCAGAGCCCAUAUAUGUUUCCUGAUCUAGCACAUCCACUGGCCUUACAUCGAAAAGAACUAGUCAGCAUUCAACUGAAAUCUCAAGUUUUUUUUUUUUUUUUUAGUUUUUUAAAGUGUAAUAUUACAAGUUAUUG
Molecule: long non-coding RNA, 1185 nt
Organism: Chenopodium quinoa (quinoa)
Lineage: Eukaryota; Viridiplantae; Streptophyta; Magnoliopsida; Caryophyllales; Amaranthaceae
Exons: 9
Source: RefSeq, a predicted model, not a curated record